GAGUUUGAUCGUGGCUCAGGACGAACGCUGGCGGCGUGCUUAACACAUGCAAGUCGAACGAGAAUCUACUGAAAGAGUUUUCGGACAAUGGAAGUAGAGGAAAGUGGCGGACGGGUGAGUAACGCGUGAGGAACCUGCCUUGAAGAGGGGACAACAGUUGGAAACGACUGCUAAUACCGCAUGAUGCAUAAGGGUCGCAUGAUUCUUAUGCCAAAGAUUUAUCGCUUCAAGAUGGCCUCGCGUCUGAUUAGCUAGUUGGCGGGGUAACGGCCCGCCAAGGCGACGAUCAGUAGCCGGACUGAGAGGUUGAACGGCCACAUUGGGACUGAGAUACGGCCCAGACUCCUACGGGAGGCAGCAGUAGGGAAUAUUGGGCAAUGGGCGCAAGCCUGACCCAGCAACGCCGCGUGAAGGAGAAGGCUUUCGGUAUGUAAACUUCUAUCAGCAGGGAAGAAAAUGACGGUACCUGACUAAGAAGCCCGGCUAACUACGUGUCAGCAGCCGCAGUAAC
RNAcentral lists this ribosomal RNA (511 nucleotides) under uncultured microorganism. Its description in RNAcentral is "bacterial SSU rRNA". It matches the Rfam family "Bacterial small subunit ribosomal RNA", at positions 9 to 524 of the family's 1533-position model. The record is from RNAcentral.